AUCUACGGCCAUGCCACCCUAAUAUGCCCAAUCUCGUCUAAUCUUGGAAGCUAAGCAGGGUUGGGCCUGGUUAGUACUUGGAUGGGAGACCACCUAGGAGUACUAGCUGCUGUAGGCG
Molecule: ribosomal RNA, 118 nt
Filed under: Pteropus alecto (black flying fox)
Lineage: Eukaryota; Metazoa; Chordata; Mammalia; Chiroptera; Pteropodidae
Source: RNAcentral